GAAUUUUGGACAAUGGGGGCAACCCUGAUCCAGCCAUCCCGCGUGUGCGACGAAGGCCUUCGGGUUGUAAAGCACUUUUGGCAGGGAAGAAAAGGCUCUGGCUAAUACCUGGAGCUGCUGACGGUACCUGCAGAAUAAGCACCAGCUCAAUCCGUGCCAGGAGCCGCGGUAAUACGUAGGGUGCAAGCUUUAAUCGGAAUUACUGGGCGUAAAGCGUGCGCAGGCGGUUCGGCAAGAAGGAUGUGAAAUCCCAGGGCUUAACCUUGGAACUGCAUUCUUAACUGCCGGGCUAGAGUAUGUCAGAGGGGGGUAGAAUUCCGCGUGUAGCAGUGAAAUGCGUAGAGAUGCGGAGGAAUACCGAUGGCGAAGGCAGCCCCCUGGGAUAAUACUGACGCUCAUGCACGAAAGCGUGGGGAGCAAAC
RNAcentral lists this ribosomal RNA (422 nucleotides) under uncultured bacterium. Its description in RNAcentral is "bacterial SSU rRNA". It matches the Rfam family "Bacterial small subunit ribosomal RNA", at positions 359 to 773 of the family's 1533-position model. The record is from RNAcentral.